This is a non-coding RNA of Chelonoidis abingdonii (Abingdon island giant tortoise), 3124 nucleotides long. Lineage: Eukaryota; Metazoa; Chordata; Testudines; Testudinidae. The record is from RefSeq and is a predicted model, not a curated record.
GCCGCCGCGGCUCAGCUAGAAGUGACAGUGCGCCAGGCGCGCUCCCAUCACCUUUUUUGCCUCCUGCGUCCUCCUCCAGCCCGGGGCGGCGAGAUGGAGACGCUGCUUGUGGACGAAGAGAGGCCGGAGCGGGGCUCGGCCCCGGAGGGCGUGUGAAGCCCUCGCUCCCCGCCGAGCGGAGUCCAGUGGAUACGCUCGACUUCACUUUCAUACUGGAAUUUAACCACGUGGCUUGGAUACAUCCCAGCAAUAGCCAUCUUUACUCUGUGUGUGAACUAAAAUCCAAAACAAGAGAUGAGGAGAUUUGUCUAUUGCAAGGUGGUUCUCGCCACCUCUCUGAUGUGGGUGCUUGUGGAUGUCUUUUUACUCUUGUACUUCAGUGAAUGUAACAAAUGUGAUGACAAGAAAGAGAGGUCACUGCUGCCUGCUCUAAGGGGUAAGCGCAAGUUCUAAAUUAUGUACAAAGGUCACAGAUUUGUUUGGAAGAAUUUGUCCUGACCUGGAACUUGGACUGUGUUAUGUUAUGUAUGUAAAAUAUCAGAAUCUUAAGCAUUCUGAUUCAUAUUACUGUAUUUAGUUCACCUUGUUGGUUGUGUUAAUUUGUCUUAAUAUUAGAUUAGCAUACUAGCAUCUCAGACAAUUUUGUAUAAAUAAAAUUAAGUAUACAGCUCUUAUUUACAUGGAAGUAUUUGUGUAGGAGAAACCACAGUUCUGUGAAGAGGUUUUCAUAAAGGAAAAACUUGACUGACAUGCAAAUCGGUUGAUAUGCAGAGUCUAUAUAACUGCAUUUAUUAUGGUACAUGUUGAAUUAAAAGUUUGGUUUAACUCUAGUCAAACUUAAAAAACAAAAAGAAAACCUUUUACUUAAUCUUCCAUAGAGAGACAUCCGGAUCGUGUUUGAUUUAACUGUAGCUGCAUAGGGGGUAGAGACUGGCAAAUAUUUAGCCACUCUUUCUCCUCCAUCCUACUCCCGCUCUUCCCCUCCCAUCCCCCACGCAGCAUCCACCCAAAAACCUCCCUCCUCUAAUGUUCAUUCAGAAGAUUAAAUGAACUAGAGUUGUCUGUUUUUUGCUUUCUUCAAAUAUUUUAAUAAUUUGCUUUACUGGCAGUUAUUUAAAUGGAAACUGAAUCUUAAGAGAUUAUAACAGAAAUAGUCAUGGAAAGCAAAAUUGAAUGUGUAAUUGUGAAUAUUUGUACUGCAAACUGGUUCUAAAGUUUCUCAUUGGCUAAGAGCAUAACAUUGCUUCUUCUGUCCAGUGGGUUCAAAUAACAAAGUUGAAAUGUAGGCUGAUGCUUGUUUGAAAACAACCUCCCAGAGCAAGAAUAAGUCAUUGAUAUUUGAAAGGGAAUUUUGGUUUAAUGGAUAUGUUGGAGAAUCUUAAUCAGUGGAAAAUUAACAAACAGAAGAGGAAAUAAAAUUUGUCAAAUUUUUCAUUAUGAAUUAAUUGCUUACCUCUGCUAGGGAGUCUAGGUACAGUCUAUGCAGGAGGCAAAGUAGUUUGAGUCUCUAAUAGGAUUGGGACAAGUCCUAUUUAACUACUAUAUUUAUAAUGUAUCUUUUGCUGAGAGUAUGCAAAAGAGAGUGUACAAGGCCAUCAGUUUUAUAACGAAUGCAUAUGUGGAUUAAUGCACUGAUCUGUGGACAAAAGUUGGGAAUAAAUCAGUCCUGCCAUUUGUUUUUGUUGUGUGUAAGGCUUGGUUCAAUUGCUGUUUCUGCUAAAAGUUGAAAUACCUCAUGAUGGAUCAUUUCAGUUUGGAAUGAUCAGUUUGUCAUUUGUUGAACUGAUUCAGUCAGAUCAGUUGCCAAAAGCAGUCAGGGCCUGAGUCAGCAAAAAAUCUGUCUGGCUUCUCAGCCAGUAGACAUAGGUUUGUCUGUCUUUUUCUGAGUUUAGAGCUUCAUUUAUUUAUAGUGAAAUAAAUAAAUAGAAUUCUGUUACAAAGGCUAUAACUAGUGAUUGAGUUGGUUUUGUGUGUCCGAAAUAUUCAGUUGUAAAGUAAAUGAGUGUAUAAAAAGUUGUCUCUUUCUUGGUACAUGUAUUGGAUUUGUUACAAAAAUUUGAAUAAAGACUUUUUGGUAAAUAAUAGCUCUGUCUGAGAAAGGACUUAGAGGAUUUCAUCCAUUUAAAAUAAAAAUGAAAACAAACCAAAAGCCUUAACUAAAUAAUAAAGGUGCUUAAAAGCAUCCUAGGGAUUCAUUGCUAUAUGUCUGUUUUAAUAUUUUCUUAUUUGUUUUAAUUUCUUGCAUUUAGGUUUUAGAUCUGGGUAAUCUAGUGUGUUUGAUUUUAGUGGGAAUACUUGAUGAUGAAGAUCUGGCCUAUUGUAACUAAAAAUUGAUUUGUCUUUAUCGUGAGCUGCGGAAAGAGGAGCACAGAUUACCUCUAAGGCAGGGGUUCUCAACCUUUUUCUUUCUAAGGCACCCAGCAUGCUAUAAAAACUCCAUGGCGCACAACUAUUGUUUUAUUGCAUAUAAGAGCCAGGUCCAGCAUUAGAGGGUAGCAAGCAGGGCAGUUGGCAAGGGCCCAUGCCACAGGGGACCCUACGAAGCUAAGUUGCUCAGGCUUCGGCUUCAGCCGUAUGCAGUGGGGCUUCAACUUUCUGCCUUUGACCCCAACAAAUCUAAUGUUCGCCCUGCUUAGUGGCCCCUGUGAAACCUGCUCAUGGCCCCACAGGGGGCUCCAGAUCCCUGGCUGAGAACCACUGCUCUAAAGUACAAAGUAGAGAUUUCUCAAAAGAUACUGUACUGUUGUCAGAACAUGCUUUUCAUAGAUAAUUAUACUAAUCUUAACUAUUUGGUUGCUGAUUUCAUUGUAAAAUAAAAAAUGAGACAAUUCGACCAUGGUUCUUGUUUUGGUGUUAACUCUGUGCUUGUUUUUUUAACGUCAGUUAAGUUUUUUUUUCUCUUCAGAAUUUAUAUUGAAAUGUAUGCAUCUGACCAUCGCAGGGCUAAACAUUUUGCUAAUUUGUAUGGGUUAGCUAAAUAAAUUAUUUUAAAAAACCCUGUACAUAAUCCAUCAGAUUUUAUUUCAUAAUCAAUUUGAGUGACUAGACUGCAGUAGGCAUCUUGUAAACCGUGGUAUCUACUUUUCAUGAGUUUUAAUAGCCAGUUUAUUGGAUUUAAUGUGUU